AUUGAACGCUGGCGGCAGGCCUAACACAUGCAAGUCGAGCGAGCGGCGGACGGGUGAGUAAUGUAUGGGGACUGCCCGAUCGAGGGGGAUAACUACUGGAAACGGUAGCUAAUACCGCAUACUAUCGGAUAACCCAUAUGGGAUUAGCUAGUUGGUGGGGUAAAGGCUCACCAAGGCAACGAUCCGUAGCUGGUUCGAGAGGACGACCAGCCACACUGGGAAGGAGACAAGGCCCAGACUCCUACGGAGGCAGCAGGGGGGAAUUUUGGAAAAUGGGGGAAACCCUGAUCCAGCCAUCCCGCGUGUAUGAUGAAGGCCUUCGGGUUGUAAAGUACUUUUGGCAGAGAAGCGGUAUCUGCAGAAUAAGCACCGGCUAACUACGUGCCAGCAGCCGCGGUAAUAC
RNAcentral lists this ribosomal RNA (403 nucleotides) under uncultured bacterium. RNAcentral's name for it is "partial 16S ribosomal RNA". It matches the Rfam family "Bacterial small subunit ribosomal RNA", at positions 30 to 526 of the family's 1533-position model. The record is from RNAcentral.